AGAGUUUGAUCCUGGCUCAGAACGAACGCUGGCGGCAGGCUUAACACAUGCAAGUCGAACGAGAAGCCAGGCUUCGGCCUGGUGGAAAGUGGCAGACGGGUGAGGAACACGUGGGAAUCUGCCCAGUGGUACGGAAUAACUUCGGGAAACCGGAGCUAAUGCCGUAUACGCCCUUCGGGGGAAAGAUUUAUCGCCAUUGGAUGAGCCCGCGUCGGAUUAGCUUGUUGGUAGGGUAACGGCCUACCAAGGCGACGAUCCGUAGCUGGUCUGAGAGGAUGAUCAGCCACACUGGGACUGAGACACGGCCCAGACUCCUACGGGAGGCAGCAGUGGGGAAUAUUGCACAAUGGGCGCAAGCCUGAUGCAGCCAUGCCGCGUGAGUGAAGAAGGCCUUAGGGUUGUAAAACUCUUUCACCGGUGAAGAUAAUGACGGUAGCCGGAGAAGAAGCCCCGGCCAACUCCGUGCCAGCAGCCGCGGUAAUACGGAGGGGGCUAGCGUUGUUCGGAAUUACUGGGCGUAAAGCGCACGUAGGCGGAUUGGUAAGUUGGGGGUGAAAUCCCAAGGCUCAACCUUGGAACUGCCCUCGAAACUGCCAGUCUUGAGUCCGGAAGAGGUGAGUGGAAUUCCUAGUGUAGAGGUGAAAUUCGUAGAUAUUAGGAAGAACACCAGU
This 671-nucleotide ribosomal RNA is filed under the name uncultured bacterium. RNAcentral's name for it is "bacterial SSU rRNA". It matches the Rfam family "Bacterial small subunit ribosomal RNA", at positions 8 to 713 of the family's 1533-position model. The record is from RNAcentral.